UGGAAGACUUAAGAUGGCGGCGUUUGCACGGAGUGCAAUCACUGCGUCCUUACGGGGGUUGCAAGGCGUCCGAAGUAUGAGUCCACUAACAAAAGUCCAGAAACUCGCCAGUUAAUAGUAUUGUGUCUCUUCAAAAUAUCGGAGAAUAAUUUCUUUCUCGCUGAUCGCCUAACUUCUACUGACGAAGCUUGGAAGUUGCAGAAGGCUGGAGUGCAAUGGCGCCAUCUCGUCUCACUGCAACUUCCGCCUCCCGGGUUCAAGCGAUUCUCCUGCCUCAGCCUCCCAAGUAGCUGGGAUUACAGAUGGAGUUCGCUCUUGUUGCCCAGGCUGGAAUGCAAUGGCAUGACCUUGGCUCACUGCAACCUCUGCCUCCCCAGUUCAAGUGGUUCUCCUGCCUCAGCCUCCCGAGUAGCUGAGAUUACAGGUACUGGCUCCUGUAUCACCCAGCUCUGGAGUUGAAAGAGCUCUUCAUUCCUGAGUCUCCUGUACCACUGAGAAUAGGCUGGAGUGCAGUGGCGCAAUCUCGGCUCUCUGCAACCUUCACCUCCCGUGUUCAAGUGAUUCUCCUGCCUCAGCCUCCUGAAUACCUGAGAUUACAAGCAUGAGCCACCGCGUCCAGCAAGAAUAGGUGAUUUUCAAACUUGGAAACAUUCAGAAGUUAUCGCCUCAGUUUCAGAUUGAGUAGUCUCAAAGAGAUUACAGACAUCUACCACAAAUUCUCUACUUGGUGUGGUGCAAAAUCAGUAUGAUGUAAACUUUGUCUCUCAGUUUCUUCAAAGGAAAGAAGCAACUGGAACACACAUAUAACACUAACCCUUCCAGCUGCAUUAUGAGGGACCAGUACCUGUCUCAAGGCAAAAUUAUGACUUAGUUCAUCCUCACCUCUGGAGGCCAGUAAAAGUGGGUUAUAGAAGAACAAAGAGGCAUCUAGAUCUUUCACUGGGUUAUUUGGAGAGAAACAUCUCCUACCGAAGGCCAGUUUAACAAGACUGGUAGAGGAGGUUAUCUUAUCUAAUUCACAGAAAUCAACACAUUGAGUCAAGAAAAAUGAAACACAGAAACACUCUAAAUAAAAGAAGAUAAGUCUUCAGAAACCAACCCUAAUGAAAUGAAGAUAUGUGAUUAACCUGACAGGAAAUUAAAAAGAGCAACCAUAAAGAGUCUCAUGGGAGCAAUGCAUGAACAAACUGAGAAUUUUCAUAAAGAAAUAAAAGAUAACAAAAAGUAUAAAGUUGAAGAAUACAAUAACUGGACUCAAAAAUUUAAUGUGUCCAACAGAAGAAUCGAUGAAGCAGAAGAAAGGGCUAUCAAACUUGUAGAUAGGCCAUUGGAAAUCAUGUAAUGUGAGGAGAAAAAAGAAAAAAGAUUGAAGAUAGUUUAAGAGACUUUUGAGACAUCCUCAAAGGGGAAUAAUUUAUACAUUACCAGAUGGAGAAGAUAGAGGGAAAAGGACAGAAAACAUAUUUGAAGAAAUAAUGUCAGAAAACCUCAUAAUUCUGGCAAGGAAAUAGAAAUUUAGAUCUAAGAAUCUCGAACAUCAGGUAUGAUGAAUCCAAGGAGACUCACACCAAACCAUAUUGUAAUUAAAUAAAGGUUAAAGACAAUCUUCAGAGCAGCAAGGGAA
Long non-coding RNA from Homo sapiens (human), 1624 nucleotides. Ensembl annotates it as JPX transcript, XIST activator. Its record names the gene JPX. NCBI's taxonomy places the organism in Eukaryota, Metazoa, Chordata, Mammalia, Primates, Hominidae. The record is from Ensembl.